Jaculus jaculus (lesser Egyptian jerboa) is the source of this 102-nucleotide small nuclear RNA. The record is from Ensembl. Lineage: Eukaryota; Metazoa; Chordata; Mammalia; Rodentia; Dipodidae.
GUGCUCGCCUCAUCUGCACAUAUUCUACAGUUGGGAUGAUACAGAGAUGAGGUUGGCCCUGCACAAGAAUGACGUGCAAGUUUGUGAACAUUCCAUAUUUUU